GUCUACCACCGUGCCACCCUGAGCAAGCCCGAUUCCGUCUGAUCUCGCAAGGUAAGCAGAGUUGGACCUGGUUAGUACUUGGAUGGGAGACCACCUAGGAAGACCAGGUGCUGUAGGUG
RNAcentral lists this ribosomal RNA (119 nucleotides) under Pteropus alecto (black flying fox). Lineage: Eukaryota; Metazoa; Chordata; Mammalia; Chiroptera; Pteropodidae. The record is from RNAcentral.